GACGAACGCUGGCGGCGUGCUUAACACAUGCAAGUCGAGCGGUAAGGCCCUUUCGGGGGUACACGAGCGGCGAACGGGUGAGUAACACGUGGGUGACCUGCCUUUAGCUCUGGGAUAAGCCUGGGAAACUGGGUCUAAUACCGGAUAUGACCCUAUGGCGCAUGUUGUGGGGUGGAAAGCCUUGUGCGGCUAGGGAUGGGCCCGCGGCCUAUCAGCUUGUUGGUGGGGUGAUGGCCUACCAAGGCGACGACGGGUAGCCGGCCUGAGAGGGCGACCGGCCACACUGGGACUGAGACACGGCCCAGACUCCUACGGGAGGCAGCAGUGGGGGAACUCUUGC
RNAcentral lists this ribosomal RNA (340 nucleotides) under uncultured bacterium. Its description in RNAcentral is "bacterial SSU rRNA". It matches the Rfam family "Bacterial small subunit ribosomal RNA", at positions 28 to 369 of the family's 1533-position model. The record is from RNAcentral.